CGGUGUUUAACUGGCGUGAUGUGGGACGUCCUACCGGUGGGCUUAGCCUCGCGAGGGGCGGCCCAACUAAUAUCCCGUCGCGGUGCUCUUUACUGAGUGUCGAGUCGGGCCGGUACGUUUACUUUGAACAAAUUAGAGUGCUUAAAGCAGGCUAUCCUCGCCUGAAUACUGCGUGCAUGGAAUAAUGGAAUAGGACCUCGGUUCUAUUUUGUUGGUUUUCGGAACCCCGAGGUAAUGAUUAAUAGGGACAGAUGGGGGCAUUCGUAUUGCGACGUUAGAGGUGAAAUUCUUGGAUCGUCGCAAGACGGACAGAAGCGAAAGCAUUUGCCAAAAAUGUUUUCAUUAAUCAAGAACGAAAGUUAGAGGUUCGAAGGCGAUCAGAUACCGCCCUAGUUCUAACCAUAAACGAUGCCAGCUAGCGAUCCGCCGAAGUUCCUCCGAUGACUCGGCGGGCAGCUUCCGGGAAACCAAAGCUUUUGGGUUCCGGGGGAAGUAUGGUUGCAAAGCUGAAACUUAAAGGAAUUGACGGAAGGGCACCACCAGGAGUGGAGCCUGCGGCUUAAUUUGACUCAACACGGGAAACCUCACCAGGCCCAGACACCGGAAGGAUUGACAGAUUGAUAGCUCUUUCUUGAUUCGGUGGGUGGUGGGUGCAUGGCCGUUCUUAGUUGGUGGAGCGAUUUGUCUGGUUAAUUCCGAUAACGAACGAGACUCUAGCCUGCUAAAUAGGCGUACCUUAUGGUAUCGCGAAGGCCCCCGGCUUCGGCCGGUGGGUUUUUACUACCAACGUACAAACAAAUCUUCUUAGAGGGACAGGCGG
RNAcentral lists this ribosomal RNA (820 nucleotides) under uncultured eukaryote. RNAcentral describes it as "SSU rRNA". It matches the Rfam family "Eukaryotic small subunit ribosomal RNA", at positions 629 to 1426 of the family's 1831-position model. The record is from RNAcentral.